Molecule: ribosomal RNA, 433 nt
Filed under: uncultured bacterium
Lineage: Bacteria
Description: partial 16S ribosomal RNA
Rfam family: Bacterial small subunit ribosomal RNA
Source: RNAcentral
AACGAACGCUGGCGGCAUGCCUAACACAUGCAAGUCGAACGAGACCUUCGGGUCUAGUGGCGCACGGGUGCGUAACGCGUGGGAACCUGCCCUUAGGUUCGGAAUAACUCCCCGACAGGGGUGCUAAUACCGGAUAAUGUCUUCGGACCAAAGAUUUAUCGCCUUUGGAUGGGCCCGCGUUGGAUUAGCUAGUUGGUAGGGUAAAAGCCUACCAAGGCGACGAUCCAUAGCUGGUCUGAGAGGAUGAUCAGCCACACUGGGACUGAGACACGGCCCAGAAUCCUACGGGAGGCAGCAGUGGGGAAUAUUGGACAAUGGGCGAAAGCCUGACCCAGCAAUGCCGCGUGAGUGAUGAAGGCCUUAGGGUUGUAAAGCUCUUUUACCCGGGAUGAUAAUGACAGUACCGGGAGAAUAAGCUCCGGCUAACUCCGUG